GGGUAGUUAGUUGAGUGGUACAACGCUUGUUUCGCAUACAAGAGGCCGGGGGUUCGAUUCCCUCACUAUCCA
Molecule: transfer RNA, 72 nt
Filed under: Anaeramoeba ignava
Lineage: Eukaryota; Anaeramoebidae
Rfam family: tRNA
About the family: Transfer RNA (tRNA) molecules are approximately 80 nucleotides in length. Their secondary structure includes four short double-helical elements and three loops (D, anti-codon, and T loops).
Source: Rfam by way of RNAcentral